Molecule: ribosomal RNA, 515 nt
Filed under: uncultured bacterium
Lineage: Bacteria
Description: partial 16S ribosomal RNA
Rfam family: Bacterial small subunit ribosomal RNA
Source: RNAcentral
GAUGAACGCUGGCGGCGUGCCUAAUACAUGCAAGUCGAGCGAAUGGAUUAAGAGCUUGCUCUUAUGAAGUUAGCGGCGGACGGGUGAGUAACACGUGGGUAACCUGCCCAUAAGACUGGGAUAACUCCGGGAAACCGGGGCUAAUACCGGAUAACAUUUUGAACCGCAUGGUUCGAAAUUGAAAGGCGGCUUCGGCUGUCACUUAUGGAUGGACCCGCGUCGCAUUAGCUAGUUGGGGAGGUAACGGCUCACCAAGGGAACGAUGCGUAGCCGACAUGAGAGGGUGAUCGGCCACACUGGGACUGAGACACGGCCCAGACUCCUACGGGAGGCAGCAGUAGGGAAUCUUCCGCAAUGGACGAAAGUCUGACGGAGCAACGCCGCGUGAGUGAGGAAGGCUUUCGGGUCGUAAAACUCUGUUGUUAGGGAAGAACAAGUGCUAGUUGAAUAAGCUGGCACCUUGACGGUACCUAACCAGAAAGCCACGGCUAACUACGUGCCAGCAGCCGCGGUAA